This 54-nucleotide transfer RNA is filed under the name Saccharomyces cerevisiae YJM969. Its description in RNAcentral is "partial tRNA-Arg". It matches the Rfam family "tRNA", at positions 19 to 71 of the family's 71-position model. Rfam says of the family: Transfer RNA (tRNA) molecules are approximately 80 nucleotides in length. Lineage: Eukaryota; Fungi; Ascomycota; Saccharomycetes; Saccharomycetales; Saccharomycetaceae. The record is from RNAcentral.
CAACGCGUCUGACUUCUAAUCAGAAGAUUAUGGGUUCGACCCCCAUCGUGAGUG